UCCGAUGGGCAUUCAACGUUGCCCUUCCUGCCUCUUUCGGUUUCCUCUCGAAGAAUGUUGUUGUGGGAGACGACAAGCGCAGCACCGCAUUGCCAUACUGCUUCUUCAUCCCGUGCGGUAUUCAGUGCUCUCAACAAGGAUUGCCCAGAGGAAGGACAAGGUGCAGGCCAGCUGGAGUGAGUAGACAUGCACCGAAGAUGAUGACGACGACACCACACAAGUUCUCACCACGUGUGCUCUGUUGCAAAUCCCAUACUGCAGCAGUGGUUGCAGCUCAGGUCUGAUUAAUGAAGGGCAUAGCCAAUGACUGGAUCCUGGAACCAUCUCACUUGCAGGGAUAGUGAUUAUCUAAGUCUCAGGGUGAAGAGCUGUUGGACAAAUGGAAAACAAUCGUUCCAGACCCCACUUCAAAGAGGUUGACAAUCGAAAGGCGCUGCAGCAACACUCUUUCGGAUGGGACUGUACAUAUGCAGGAAGGAACUAAAUGAGCAUUGAAGAAGGAUGAUGUACCAUGCAUGUCUCAGCUGAUUGACACACCAGGGAACUGCACGAGUGAUGAACUCCAAGGAACUGGACUGCUGCUGUCCAGCUGAAGGCAAGUUGAUCUCUCCAGACUGCACGAGGACGUUCUUCCACGCGUUGCUCUCAGCAGUGACUGGCGACCCUUCUAAAGUUUCCAGAACACUCUCUACACUUUCUUCUGCAAGAUAUGGGGUAACAGCUUAGUCACCGACUCCUUGGACUUUCGAAGAGCUCCUUCGAUCCUUCGACCUUUCUCGACCAACACUGCAUCACUCCCUCCAAUGUUAACAGUUCUGCCGCAACCUGCUCCCUUAGGAGCUCAACCGUCAGGUGCUUAUCUCUCAACUUGUCUUGCCGGCAAGCCUUGCAGUUCACGUCGCCUCAUGAGGUUAAGACUCCUUCGCGAGACACAGCCUUCACAUCUUGACGUGUCCUGGUCGCUGCCCUCAAUUCCUCCAACCUCACCCGAAGUUUUCGCUGUGGUUGCAUCUCCCUUUCAAUUAGCGAUUGGUAUUGGGUAGCCAUUGAAGCCUGGUGUCGCUGGCACCCGCAGUCUUGCAUGUCAUCUUCCCUGUGAGUUGCUCCCUUUGAGCUCCAUAAGCUCCUCUGCAGCAACAGCACUAUUCUGUCUUCCGUUGACCCAUCACACCCAGUGACCUAUAGCAGCCUGAAGAGUUUGGGAAGCAAUCCUGCCCUGACUGUACCAGGUUAACUCGUGCCAGCAAUGCUUAGUUGCGAAGACAGACCUUGCUGCAGUAUCCCGUCUGGCUUCCCGUAGUAGCACUCCACGUAGACGCUGCAACUCUCCUGAGGAUUGUCUGGUCUCAAGCCAGCAUCAGCAGACUCCAAGCGAUGACCAUCCCAACCACCAUACCCUGUCGAAUCCUGUCGACUGCACCAGUAAAGUUAGGAAGGCUAGGAAGGAUUUUCUUGUAGCUUCACACUGAAGAGGUAAUUACAGCAGUCUCGUGGUAAUUCAAACCCCGUUAUUUUGUACUUUCACCUAAUACGUACAAACAUAUUUCUAAUGUUUGUUUGACCCGCUAUAUUCUCAAUAUAUGUAUCGAUAAGCUCGUGAAUUCAAAUGGCUUAAUUCACACUUUUCGUACCCUCAUUCUCCACAGGAAGUGGUGAAACGAGGCUCGCAAAGCGGCUCCUGUUUGCAAUUGGUUAUGCCAUCUCUUGCAGCAUUGUAAAUCAUGCGCUGAACAUGCAAGCACAAAACAAAACUUCUGCUUUGCUUCACUGCUUGUGUUGCCCAUGCACAGACAGAGUCUGCCACUGCAUGCUUUCUGAAUGUGUUUUACUUCGAACGUGCCAUGUCUUCUUGGGGAUAUACAAGACUCUUUCAAUGAAGGAUAAGCCAGCUGUUAUUGAUGAAGUGGAGUACUAAGUGAAGGAGAGUGCCGUGGCAUUACUAAAAGUAUGCUGUCUGAAAGUGAAGGAGAAAGUCACAGAAAAUGCAAGCAAAUUUACGCCACAGAGACAAAGGUUGAGAGAAGCGGCGCUCCCAAAGUGCAAAGAGCUCUAAUUUGCCAGAAAGCAGGCUGGGCUGAUCUUACGAGAAAAGGCUGGUGAACUGGCUUCCCGGCUUGAUGUAAAAGAUUUUGAAUGCAGUGAUGGUUGGAUUACAUGGUUUAAGGAAUGCAUGGUUUACUGUUUAAGACGAGCAGUGGUGAAGUGGUGUAUUGAUGUCUAUUCGACAUUCUAACGAAGUAGCUCUAUUGCUCGGUAUCCAUCCCCUAUAGUUCCCCUAGCAUAGCUCACGUUACACUAAUAUACGGCUCAUAGUUGUAUAACUGUAGCGCAUUGUUAGACCUUUUUUAGACCAAAUGUCUGAGUGGGACAGUAUUUGUCUAUGCACUGAGUCGUAUGUAUUAGCCGUGAUGUAUAAAUGAUACAAUGUAUUAGCCGUGAUGCAACAACUAAGUGUGGUCUGCCUCAGCCAAAUCUCGUUGUUUAGCCGUGAUGUUGUUACAAAAUUUAUUUCUAUUAACAUAUUGCGUAAACACUGAGUAAAGCUGCAAACAUGUGGACAAGUUACUGGACAUCGUGAGCAGUUCCCCUCUUUGUACAGUGACAUGCCAGCAUAUCUAGGUACUCUUCCAGAGUCGAUAAUAAUAUACAUGUACACAAAUCCGAGUACUUGUAUCACUGGCAGCUGUGAGCAAUGCCUCUGUCUUCGGGUUCAUGCCCUGAUGUUGACUGCUCCAACGGCAACAAUUUUACACACGUGUGGGGUGGUCGACGGCUGUGGGUUGGAGACAGAUCCACUGA
RNA transcript from Ornithodoros turicata, 2799 nucleotides. It is a transcript of the gene named very long chain fatty acid elongase 7-like, with no coding region annotated. The record is from RefSeq and is a predicted model, not a curated record. Lineage: Eukaryota; Metazoa; Arthropoda; Arachnida; Ixodida; Argasidae. The transcript is spliced from 5 exons.